AAGUAUUGCACAAUGGGGGAAACCCGUCGAUGCAGCCAUGCCGCGUGUGUGAAGAAGGCCUUCGGGUUGUAAAGCACUUUCAGUAGGGAGGAAGGUAGUGUAGUUAACACCUGCAUUAUUUGACGUUACCUACAGAAGAAGCACCGGCUAACUCCGUGCCAGCAGCCGCGGUAAUACGGAGGGUGCGAGCGUUAAUCGGAAUUACUGGGCGUAAAGCGCAUGCAGGCGGCCUGUUAAGUCAGAUGUGAAAGCCCGGGGCUUAACCUCGGAAUUGCAUUUGAAACUGGCAGGCUAGAGUCUUGUAGAGGGGGGUAGGAAUUUCAGGUGUAGCGGUGAAAUGCGUAGAGAUCUGAAGGAAUACCAGUGGCGAAGGCGGCCCCCUGGACAAAGACUGACGCUCAGAUGCGAAAGCGUGGGGAGCAAACAGGAUUAGAUACCCUGGUAG
RNAcentral lists this ribosomal RNA (445 nucleotides) under uncultured bacterium. Its description in RNAcentral is "bacterial SSU rRNA". It matches the Rfam family "Bacterial small subunit ribosomal RNA", at positions 359 to 793 of the family's 1533-position model. The record is from RNAcentral.